RNAcentral lists this ribosomal RNA (934 nucleotides) under Mortierella histoplasmatoides. RNAcentral's name for it is "eukaryotic LSU rRNA". It matches the Rfam family "Eukaryotic large subunit ribosomal RNA", at positions 92 to 884 of the family's 3401-position model. Lineage: Eukaryota; Fungi; Mortierellomycota; Mortierellomycetes; Mortierellales; Mortierellaceae. The record is from RNAcentral.
AGUGAAGCGGGAUGAGCUCAAAUUUAAAAUCUGGCUGGUUUACUAGUCCGAAUUGUAGUUUAUAGAAGCGUUUUCGGUGGCAGCCUGGGUAUAAAUCCUUUGGAAUAGGGUAUCAUAGAGGGUGAGAAUCCCGUCUUUGACUCAGUGCAUGCUACUAUGUGAUACGUUUUCAAAGAGUCGAGUUGUUUGGGAAUGCAGCUCAAAAUGGGUGGUAAAUUUCAUCUAAGGCUAAAUAUUGGCGAGAGACCGAUAGCGAACAAGUACCGUGAGGGAAAGAUGAAAAGAACUUUGAAAAGAGAGUUAAACAGUGCGUGAAAUUGUUGAAAGGGAAACGCUUGACACCAGUCAUGCGAGUGGAAAAUCAGUCUUUUGCAGUGAGGAGUUGUGGGCGUUCAGACCGCAAGGCUGGCGUUUGCUUGAUUUUUGCUGUAAGUGAUGCACUUUUUCAUUUGCAGGUCAACAUCAGUUUGCUUUGCUGGACAAAACCCCAAGGGAAGGUGGCAGCUUAGGCUGUGUUAUAGCCCUGGGGCGAUACAGUGGAGUGGACUGAGGUUUUUGCAGUGUGUGCUUUCGGGCAAGGCUGACUGGGUGCUAUGGGAUCGUUCGGCGUACAAUGCUUGCAUUUUGCGUCGUGUCCUUUUCAUACUCGCUCAACUCGGCUCUUCCACACUUAGGAUGUUGACUUAAUGGUUUUAAUCGACCCGUCUUGAAACACGGACCAAGGAGUCUAACAUAUAUGCAAGUGUUUGGGUGGCAAACCCAUGCGCGUAAUGAAAGUGAACGUAGGUGCCAUCCGCAAGGUGCAGCAUCGACCGAUCUUGAUAUUUUUUGGAUAGAUUUGAGUAAGAGCAUAUAUGCUGGGGACCCGAAAGAUGGUGAACUAUGCCUGAAUAGGGUGAAGCCAGAGGAAACUCUGGUGGAGGCUCGUAGCGAU